AAUUUUCCAAAUUUUUUUGGUUUUUCUAUGCCUUAGAUGAAUGCAGACUCAAAAAUAUACACAAUGCAACACACACUUCCUGAGCCCUCCCCCAAACUUAAAUCACACAGUCCACUGUGCGAAUAAACUUGGAAGAGAGUACUCAGGACAAAUCCAAUCACAGAAACAAAAAAAAAUGAAGAAACAAAUCACAACAGAUGGUAUAAUACAAUGGUGAAGUGAGGCGCUUACCUCAGUCGAAGAAUGAACGUAGUUGCUCGUCAAUGGCUGCCUGUGAUUGCUCCCAGGCCAUAGACGAACCACCUUGUUCUGUAUCAGCUCCAGCAGGUGGGUACUCGACCUCAUCAACUCUCUGGCGGCCAGCACCGCUCUGAGGAAACUCGACCUCUCUCCUUCUGCUGCGGCCAGCACCGCGGUCGAGUGAUCUCCUCGAGUGAAUGAGGCGUGAUCUGCUGCUAGAUCGAGUUAGUGUAGCCUUCCUUCUUCUGUUGUGCUCCCGGGAUUUGAAUGACGAAUGCCUACCCUGGACAUGUGGGACUCUCUGCUCGCUAAGCUCAGGCCUGUGCGUAGGUGUGUCAUUAAAUCUUCUCGAUGGCAUCUCCAGAGGAGGCUGUACCUGUGGAAUAGCAGUGGUGGAGGAAGAGCAACUCAGCUUAUCUGUCAGAAGCUUGAAACACUUGGCGAUCAGCUUGUCCUGCUUCUUGCACCACUUCUGCAAUUUACUGUUAUUCUUAUAAGCUUUAGUCAAGCUCUUGCUCUGCCUCGCUGGAGGUACAUGUUCACCCACGUGAUACAUGCUAGUGUCGAACGCCACUGCCCUAUCUUCAUCCAUCCCAUCCGAAGCAGCUUUUUCAAGAAGAUCAUCCUCAUCCAAUGGCGGAGCGUUCUCAUAGUAGAGGCGUCCAACCUCAGGCCUAAAAUCAAUGUUAUCUCCCUCUAUUAUCCGUGUAACCUCAAGGCUAGGGAGAAGGAUGUUAGCUCUCUUGUCUGUAGAGUGCUCAAACUUGAAUCUGUGGAAAUCGUCAACCAUUGCAAACUCCAAGAAUUCGCAGUGACGUAGGUGCUCGAUAUCCAUUGCUCGCGGCUCGAGUCCAGCAGAAAUGAUUGGGACUCCACAAACUAUAAGAAUCGGUGUCACAACGCCACCUAUGCACAGAGCGCCUCGUGCUCUCUUGCGGUUAUUGCUGACAGCCCAGCUCUUGUAUCCACACACAUGGAUCAGAAGAAGUACAGAGAGAGGUGUGUCAUUGAUUUCACCCUGGAGGGACAUACCAUUCUUAGUUUGGCGAAGAGUUCCCUUGAGGGCCAUUGCGAUCAUCUCCAUAUCAGAGUUAGUAACAGUCCCUGUGAUAUGUCAGGAGUAGAGUACAUUGGCUAUAGAACGCUGGCAGUACCUGAUGACAGGGCUGCGUAUCUGAUUGCUCUUUGACCUGGAAGCAUUCAACGGUACAGAGCUGCCAAUGGUGAUCCACAAGUCUUUCAACUCUUCUCUGUCAUACUUGGGCUUAGAUCCCCUUCCACUGGGGAAGCCAAACAAUCCUUCCAAGCGCUUGAUUGAUAACCUAUACUCAUGACCAUACACAGAGAAUUGCAAGAAUCCCAAUCCUUCACAAUCCAACUCAUCAGAGGUCAUACCUUGGUAAAGCUCUACUUGGAGCGUGGAGAGGAAUUGUAUUGUCUCAUCUUCAUACGCUACAUACGGAUAAGCCAUCAGAGUGUCCAGAUGACAACUCUGGUAUAGGUGCUGAACAUCUUCCAAUAAUCCGAGUUGUGCAAGUGAGGUCGAGCAAGGAUACCUCGUGCUACAUAACUCAUUCAGCUUGAAAAGCCUAACAUAUUCCUCAGCAGGUAAUACGUCGGGCUUGUGCAGAAGUUUGGUAGCUCUGCGAGUCUGUUCAGGCAUGUACUCGUCUUCUAGAUCUUCGUCUAUAAGCUCAUACCUCUCUGUCAUCGCUCUUUUCCCUCGGGCUAUCUCAGCUUUCCUUCUGAAGCUUUCAUAUUCUCUCUAGCCUUGAAGAUGACGACUCUGUCUCAUCCAUGUUGUAGUCAGGAUCAACAGAAGAACUGCCACUGUAAUUGCUCAUAAUUCUCCUGUAGAGAUUUAGAACUCAAAGCUCAAAUGUCAAUAGCUUAGUCUCAAAGAUAGCAAUGAAACCAAAAUU
RNAcentral lists this small RNA (2162 nucleotides) under Arabidopsis thaliana (thale cress). Its description in RNAcentral is "ATSL273130". The record is from RNAcentral. Lineage: Eukaryota; Viridiplantae; Streptophyta; Magnoliopsida; Brassicales; Brassicaceae.